Molecule: ribosomal RNA, 892 nt
Filed under: uncultured Bacillota bacterium
Lineage: Bacteria; Bacillati; Bacillota
Description: bacterial SSU rRNA
Rfam family: Bacterial small subunit ribosomal RNA
Source: RNAcentral
GUGCCUAAUACAUGCAAGUCGAACGCACUGACGGAGAACUUGUUCUCUUGACGUGAGUGGCGCACGGGUGAGUAACACGUGGGAAACCUACCCUUCAGCGGGGGAUAACCAUCGGAAACGAUGACUAAUACCGCAUAGACGACAGAACCGCCUGGUUCAAUCGGGAAAGACGGCUUCGGCUGUCACUGAAGGAUGGUCCCGCGCUGCAUUAGCUAGUUGGUAAGGUAACGGCUUACCAAGGCGAUGAUGCAUAGCCGACCUGAGAGGGUGAUCGGCCACAUUGGGACUGAGACACGGCCCAAACUCCUACGGGAGGCAGCAGUAGGGAAUCUUCCGCAAUGGACGCAAGUCUGACGGAGCAACGCCGCGUGUGUGAAGAAGGUUUUCGGAUCGUAAAGCACUGUUAUUAGAGAAGAACAGCCGAUAGAGUAACUGUUAUCGGUUUGACGGUAUCUAACCAGAAAGUGACGGCUAACUACGUGCCAGCAGCCGCGGUAAUACGUAGGUCACAAGCGUUGUCCGGAUUUAUUGGGCGUAAAGGGAGCGCAGGCGGUUUGUUAAGUCUGAUGUGAAAGCCCACGGCUCAACCGUGGAACGGCAUUGGAAACUGGCAAACUUGAGUAUAGAAGAGGAAAGUGGAAUUCCAUGUGUAGCGGUGAAAUGCGUAGAUAUAUGGAGGAACACCAGUGGCGAAGGCGACUUUCUGGUCUAUAACUGACGCUGAGGCUCGAAAGCGUGGGGAGCGAACAGGAUUAGAUACCCUGGUAGUCCACGCCGUAAACGAUGAGUGUUAAGUGUUGGGGGGCUUCCACCCCUCAGUGCUGGCGUUAACGCAAUAAACACUCCGCCUGGGGAGUACGACCGCAAGGUUGAAACUCAAAUGAAUUGACGG